This 250-nucleotide unclassified non-coding RNA is filed under the name plant metagenome. RNAcentral's name for it is "partial contains small subunit ribosomal RNA, internal transcribed spacer 1, and 5.8S ribosomal RNA". The record is from RNAcentral.
GUAGGCAAGUCUCACUCCCAUCCUUGUUAAACCACGAAUUAUGCUAACAAACUCAAAGGUGAACCUGCGGAAGGAUCAUUACUGAGUUAGGGUCCUCUGGGCCCGACCUCCAACCCUUUGUCUACAUUACCUCUUGUUGCUUCGGUGGGCCCGUUCCCUCUAGAAAUAGAGGACGACCGCCAGAGGGUUUACGCCCUCUGGCCCGCGCCCACCGAUGGCCCCAACCCAAAAACUCUUGUUUAACCAUGAC